RNAcentral lists this ribosomal RNA (1554 nucleotides) under Salmonella enterica subsp. enterica serovar Hvittingfoss str. SA20014981. RNAcentral's name for it is "bacterial SSU rRNA". It matches the Rfam family "Bacterial small subunit ribosomal RNA". The record is from RNAcentral. Lineage: Bacteria; Pseudomonadati; Pseudomonadota; Gammaproteobacteria; Enterobacterales; Enterobacteriaceae.
UUAAAUUGAAGAGUUUGAUCAUGGCUCAGAUUGAACGCUGGCGGCAGGCCUAACACAUGCAAGUCGAACGGUAACAGGAAGCAGCUUGCUGCUUCGCUGACGAGUGGCGGACGGGUGAGUAAUGUCUGGGAAACUGCCUGAUGGAGGGGGAUAACUACUGGAAACGGUGGCUAAUACCGCAUAACGUCGCAAGACCAAAGAGGGGGACCUUCGGGCCUCUUGCCAUCAGAUGUGCCCAGAUGGGAUUAGCUUGUUGGUGAGGUAACGGCUCACCAAGGCGACGAUCCCUAGCUGGUCUGAGAGGAUGACCAGCCACACUGGAACUGAGACACGGUCCAGACUCCUACGGGAGGCAGCAGUGGGGAAUAUUGCACAAUGGGCGCAAGCCUGAUGCAGCCAUGCCGCGUGUAUGAAGAAGGCCUUCGGGUUGUAAAGUACUUUCAGCGGGGAGGAAGGUGUUGUGGUUAAUAACCACAGCAAUUGACGUUACCCGCAGAAGAAGCACCGGCUAACUCCGUGCCAGCAGCCGCGGUAAUACGGAGGGUGCAAGCGUUAAUCGGAAUUACUGGGCGUAAAGCGCACGCAGGCGGUCUGUCAAGUCGGAUGUGAAAUCCCCGGGCUCAACCUGGGAACUGCAUUCGAAACUGGCAGGCUUGAGUCUUGUAGAGGGGGGUAGAAUUCCAGGUGUAGCGGUGAAAUGCGUAGAGAUCUGGAGGAAUACCGGUGGCGAAGGCGGCCCCCUGGACAAAGACUGACGCUCAGGUGCGAAAGCGUGGGGAGCAAACAGGAUUAGAUACCCUGGUAGUCCACGCCGUAAACGAUGUCUACUUGGAGGUUGUGCCCUUGAGGCGUGGCUUCCGGAGCUAACGCGUUAAGUAGACCGCCUGGGGAGUACGGCCGCAAGGUUAAAACUCAAAUGAAUUGACGGGGGCCCGCACAAGCGGUGGAGCAUGUGGUUUAAUUCGAUGCAACGCGAAGAACCUUACCUGGUCUUGACAUCCACAGAACUUUCCAGAGAUGGAUUGGUGCCUUCGGGAACUGUGAGACAGGUGCUGCAUGGCUGUCGUCAGCUCGUGUUGUGAAAUGUUGGGUUAAGUCCCGCAACGAGCGCAACCCUUAUCCUUUGUUGCCAGCGAUUAGGUCGGGAACUCAAAGGAGACUGCCAGUGAUAAACUGGAGGAAGGUGGGGAUGACGUCAAGUCAUCAUGGCCCUUACGACCAGGGCUACACACGUGCUACAAUGGCGCAUACAAAGAGAAGCGACCUCGCGAGAGCAAGCGGACCUCAUAAAGUGCGUCGUAGUCCGGAUUGGAGUCUGCAACUCGACUCCAUGAAGUCGGAAUCGCUAGUAAUCGUGGAUCAGAAUGCCACGGUGAAUACGUUCCCGGGCCUUGUACACACCGCCCGUCACACCAUGGGAGUGGGUUGCAAAAGAAGUAGGUAGCUUAACCUUCGGGAGGGCGCUUACCACUUUGUGAUUCAUGACUGGGGUGAAGUCGUAACAAGGUAACCGUAGGGGAACCUGCGGUUGGAUCACCUCCUUACCUGAAAGAA